Molecule: ribosomal RNA, 440 nt
Filed under: uncultured Anaerolineaceae bacterium
Lineage: Bacteria; Bacillati; Chloroflexota; Anaerolineae; Anaerolineales; Anaerolineaceae
Description: bacterial SSU rRNA
Rfam family: Bacterial small subunit ribosomal RNA
Source: RNAcentral
GAUGAACGCUGGCGGCGUGCCUAAUACAUGCAAGUCGAACGGAGAUUCUGUCGUAAUUCGUUACAGCGGAAAUCUCAGUGGCGAACGGGUGAGUAACGCGUUGGUGACCUGCCCCGGAGAGGGGGAUAACAGCUUGAAAGGGCUGCUAAUACCCCAUGAUGUCUAGAGGGUUAGAAACCUCUAGACGAAAGGCUUCGGUCGCUUCGGGAGGGGCCUGCGUCCCAUCAGCUAGUUGGUAGGGUAAUGGCCUACCAAGGCGAAGACGGGUAGGGGACCUGAGAGGGUGACCCCCCACAAUGGAACUGAAACACGGUCCAUACACCUACGGGUGGCAGCAGUGGGGAAUAUUGCACAAUGGGCGAAAGCCUGAUGCAGCAACGCCGCGUGCGCGAAGAAGGCCUUCGGGUUGUAAAGCGCUUUUCGGGGAGAAGAGGAAGGAC